Molecule: ribosomal RNA, 889 nt
Filed under: Cladosporium cladosporioides
Lineage: Eukaryota; Fungi; Ascomycota; Dothideomycetes; Cladosporiales; Cladosporiaceae
Description: SSU rRNA
Rfam family: Eukaryotic small subunit ribosomal RNA
Source: RNAcentral
GUGAAACUGCGAAUGGCUCAUUAAAUCAGUUAUCGUUUAUUUGAUAGUACCUUACUACAUGGAUAACCGUGGUAAUUCUAGAGCUAAUACAUGCUAAAAACCUCGACUUCGGAAGGGGUGUAUUUAUUAGAUAAAAAACCAAUGCCCUUCGGGGCUCCUUGGUGAAUCAUAAUAACUUAACGAAUCGCAUGGCCUUGCGCCGGCGAUGGUUCAUUCAAAUUUCUGCCCUAUCAACUUUCGAUGGUAGGAUAGUGGCCUACCAUGGUAUCAACGGGUAACGGGGAAUUAGGGUUCGACUCCGGAGAGGGAGCCUGAGAAACGGCUACCACAUCCAAGGAAGGCAGCAGGCGCGCAAAUUACCCAAUCCCGACACGGGGAGGUAGUGACAAUAAAUACUGAUACAGGGCUCUUUUGGGUCUUGUAAUUGGAAUGAGUACAAUUUAAAUCCCUUAACGAGGAACAAUUGGAGGGCAAGUCUGGUGCCAGCAGCCGCGGUAAUUCCAGCUCCAAUAGCGUAUAUUAAAGUUGUUGCAGUUAAAAAAGCUCGUAGUUGAACCUUGGGCCUGGGCUGGCCGGUCCGCCUCACCGCGUGUACUGGUCCGGCCGGGCCCUUUCCUUCUGGGGAACCUMAUGCCCCUUCAYUGGAGCGUGUUGGGGAACCAGGACUUUUACUUUGAAAAAAUUAGAGUGUUCAAAGCAGGCCUUUGCUCGAAUACAUUAGCAUGGAAUAAUAGAAUAGGACGUGUGGUUCUAUUUUGUUGGUUUCUAGGACCGCCGUAAUGAUUAAUAGGGAUAGUCGGGGGCAUCAGUAUUCAAUCGUCAGAGUGAAAUUCUUGAAAUUGAUUGAAGACUAACUACUGCAAAAGCAUUUGACAAGGUUGUUCUCAUU